RNAcentral lists this long non-coding RNA (371 nucleotides) under Marmota monax (woodchuck). The record is from RNAcentral. Lineage: Eukaryota; Metazoa; Chordata; Mammalia; Rodentia; Sciuridae.
AUCUUUAUUUUAUUUGUAUGUGGUGCUGAGGAUCGAGCCCAGCGCCCCACGCAUGCCAGGCGAGCGCGCUACCGCUUGAGCCACAUCCCCAGCCCCCAAAAUAUUAUUGAUUCACCUAUUCCUUGGGCCAGCACAUAUAUGGCAGCUCUAACAGACAUCAUUCAUGUGCACUCCAGCAACACCUACCCUCAGACUUACACCAGGAGCCUUUCAGCCUCUGCCCUUGAUUUUUGUGGUGCUUUGGGGAUCCACUCAACAUCCCUAAAUACACAUGCAGAACUGCAGGGAUAAUAGUGUCCUCCAGGGGAGACAUUUGACCAGUGGGAACUGGGAAAUGAGAGAUACAUGAUUAGAAGUUAUUUCCCCCCAGC